CUGGUUCAAACCUUGAAAUUUGUUUCUUCUUGAACUGACUUCUCAGAAUUUUCCAUUUUCAUUUCCAAUCUUUCGAUAAUCUCAAGCAUGCCCAGGAUAAUCUUUUUUCUAAUUCCAUAGUCUAUUGUUGUUACUUUUACAGAAACUAAAGAAAUUGAAGGAAGAAAAUAGAAGAAUUCAUAAGAGAUUUAUAAAUUGAAACAAUUUCAAGAAACAUGCUAGAAAGGAGAAAUUAAGGAAGAGAGUAGAAGAAAGAACCAGAAAG
Molecule: unclassified non-coding RNA, 265 nt
Filed under: Hevea brasiliensis (rubber tree)
Lineage: Eukaryota; Viridiplantae; Streptophyta; Magnoliopsida; Malpighiales; Euphorbiaceae
Source: RNAcentral